Long non-coding RNA from Herpailurus yagouaroundi (jaguarundi), 1452 nucleotides. RefSeq lists it as uncharacterized. The transcript has 2 exons. NCBI's taxonomy places the organism in Eukaryota, Metazoa, Chordata, Mammalia, Carnivora, Felidae. The record is from RefSeq and is a predicted model, not a curated record.
CAGCACGUCAAGCCAUCCUCACCACGGACUGGGGGGCUCAAAUAGCACCCAGGUAUUUCCUCACGGUUCUGGAAGCUGGAAGUCCCAGAUCAGCGUGCCACUAGACUUGGUUUCUCCUGAGGCCUGUCUCCUUGGCUUGUCCAUGGCCGCCCUCUCGCUGUGUCCUCCUACGGCCCUUCCUCUGCGUGCACGCAGGAGGGGCAAGCUCUCUGGUGCAUCUUCUGGAAAGGACCCCAGUCCUGCUGAAUGAGGGCCCCGCCCUGACGAGCUCAAACCUCAGCCACCUCCUCAGUCACACGGAGGGCGGGGGGAGGUUAGGGCUUCUACAUAGGAAUUUGGGAAGACAGAGUUCAUUCAUUCGUUCCAUUGCAGGGAGGGGCCUUGGACUCUUAGCAGACCACCGUGGACAUUCUCCCACCAGGCCAGGUGUGGCCCAGGACCCCUGCUUUCUUCUCAGGAGCCCACUGAAACGAGGCUGGAACUUUCUAGAAACCUCUGUGAUGGCAAAUGAGAGAGUACCCAAUGGAAGCCUUACUAACCAGCUUUGGAAGUCACCCGCCAUCACUCCCACCAGAUUCUCUUUGUUAGAAGGCGGUCACGGGGGCUGGCCUUAUUCAAGGGUAAGGGAUUGGAACCCACCUCUCGACGGCCGGAAAGUCAAAGGCUUGGCAGCCAUGCUUGAGGAUCGCCGCAGCGGCUCCCAGCGCCCUUCCCAUUCCCACAGGACUCGGGACGUACGGCUCUACCCUUCGCGAUGCGUGGUCUCUCUUCCCACAGGACCGCCAUCACACCACCUACAGCCUUCGUGGGAGCCAGACCAGGAGAGAACGCCGUGCUUUCUCUCUGGCUGAGGCCAGACCGAGACUCUGCACAGGGGAAUAACUUGGUGCCCCUCCACAGAAGGAAAAAAAAUGGAUUUCCCACCAAUACAUUUCCCACCAUGUAAAACAAGAUGGAGGUGUGUUCCUCUCUCACGAGCAGGCUUAUGUGUGACAUGCGAGCCCUGGUUUAUUAAGUCCUUAGGGACCCAGACUGCCGCUUUGCCAGGCAUGGCCUCCCGUCCCCAGGUCACCUGUUGGUCCCAACUGACUGCUACAGUGACAUUCCGGCCAUCGGAGAGGAGAAAGGACCAAGAAGAAGCAGUAGAGGGUCCCCAGAACUGAAUUGUGAUACUUCUGAUUAUAGCCUAUUGGCCAAAACUCACCCACGUGGUCACUCUUAGCUGUGAGGGGCUGGGACGUGGGGUCUGUAUUCCGGGGGCCACGUGCCCCGCUCCAGUCGCUGAUCCUCUUAGCGGGGAAGAGGGGGGAGAAAAGACACCGUAGGUUAAGAAGCGGACUCCGCCAAACUUAUUAAUUAAAACGUUUUAUGCGCAGACAGAUUUACUCACUAAUUUACCUCCCCUGGCUGUAGAAAAAUUAAUGGUCUAAAAAAGGGGCAAAGUGUCUUACA